GAAAUGCGAUAAGUAGUGUGAAUUGCAGAAUUCAGUGAAUCAUCGAAUCUUAGAACGCACAUUGCGCCCCUCGGUAUUCCGUGGGGCAUGCCUGUUCGAGCGUCAUCUACACCCUCAAGCUCUGCUUGGUGUUGGGCGUCUGUCCCGCCUCCGCGCGCGGACUCGCCCCAAAUGCAUUGGCAGCGGUUCCUUGCCCCCCUCUUUGCGCAGCACAUUGCCAUUCGAGGCGGCGGCGGCCCGCGUCCAACAAGCUCAACCCCCCCGUCUUUGACCUCGGAUCAGGUAGGGAUACCCGCUGAACUUAAGC
This 307-nucleotide unclassified non-coding RNA is filed under the name plant metagenome. Its description in RNAcentral is "partial contains 5.8S ribosomal RNA, internal transcribed spacer 2, and large subunit ribosomal RNA". The stretch from base 1 to 105 matches the Rfam family "5.8S ribosomal RNA", at positions 50 to 154 of the family's 154-position model. The record is from RNAcentral.